RNAcentral lists this small nucleolar RNA (111 nucleotides) under Pelusios castaneus (West African mud turtle). RNAcentral describes it as "Small nucleolar RNA SNORD67 (ENSPCEG00000003501.1)". It matches the Rfam family "Small nucleolar RNA SNORD67". Rfam says of the family: snoRNA HBII-166 belongs to the C/D family of snoRNAs. Lineage: Eukaryota; Metazoa; Chordata; Testudines; Pelomedusidae. The record is from Rfam by way of RNAcentral.
UGCGAGAGUGAUGAGUUGCACACUGGUGGAGUUGCCAUGUCAGGUGACGUGGGCACCACUCAGGAUCUCCCUGAUGACAAUACUAAGUGCACAGGGGCCAUCUGACUCGCU